Molecule: long non-coding RNA, 1211 nt
Filed under: Piliocolobus tephrosceles (Ugandan red Colobus)
Lineage: Eukaryota; Metazoa; Chordata; Mammalia; Primates; Cercopithecidae
Description: lncRNA (ENSPTEG00000014120.1)
Source: RNAcentral
UAUAUUAUAUAUAUAUAUAUAUAUAUAUAUAUAUAUAUACAUAUAUUUAAUAAAUUAAAAAAAAAAAAACACACGGAAUUUUUUGACAAAUCUGUUUGCUAUUCAUACAAAUAUCAUAACUUUAAAUAUAUUUUUUUCUUUAUUUAGUUUUCAAUUUUGUUACAUAUGAUAAUAUUGACAUAUUAACUGACAUUCAUAUAUGUAUAUAUGUAUAUUAUAUACAUCCAUUGUACAUUGUUAUUAUGCAGUUAGUUUCCGCUAUUCAUAUUAUAUACCCCCAACUAUAUACAAUAGCAGCUUCAACCCUAACUACUAUUAUAUUUUAAAUCAGUAUAUAUAUAUAUAUAUAUAUAUUGGAUAGUAUAUAUUUGGACAUAUAAAUAUAAUCAUUGUGUAAAAAAAAAAAAAGGGUACUAAGGAAAACGAAAGGGCAAAAGAGGUAAAAAUUAAAAUAAAAGAACAAAAGUAAAACAACGUCCUUAAAAACUGCUUCAUUAAAAAACUACUUCAUUAAAAACUGCGUCUUAAAAACUGCAAAAAAAAAAAAAAACUGAUAAAAAUUUUUAUUAUACGAAAGUGAAAACAUACCCAAAAACACAGAACAAAAAUAAAAUUUAUAAUAGUUUAACUGAACCUAAAGAAUUAAAAAUGAGUAAAAAGAGUCCCAAAAAAAGCAGUAAUAAGAAAAACCAAAAGGAACAUGCUUCCGAUAAUGAAAAUGUAGUGAAUGAAGCUAUCGAGGGUGGAGAUAUCGAGAGUGGAGAUAUCGAAGGUGGACAUGUCGAGGAUGCAGAUUUGGCUGAUAAUAACAUCGUAAACAAAUCAGGAAGUGAUAAACAAGUGAAUAGUAAAAACAAAAAUUAUAUAGAUCCUAAGGCAUACAAUAAAUUUAAAAAUGAUGGGUCGUUCUUACAGCAGGUGCUAGCAAUGCAAAAGCAAAAAAAAAUAAGAAAAUUAAAAGAGCCAAAUUCAUUUGAUCCAAAAAAAAAAAAAACGAAGUUAGAAGAAGAAAAAGGAAAAGAAGAGAAGGAAGAUGAAAAACAAGAUGAACAAAAAGGAAAAGAUUCUGAAUCUAGUGUAGAAGAUGAAAGAGAGGCAGAAAUAAAAAAUGAAUACAUUGAAAAAAUAAGUAAAAUGAAAGAAGAAGGUUUUUUCACAGAUAAAGGCAUAGGAGCUGGAUUAGUGAAAUAAAAAAAAAAAAAAAUUAAUCG